Molecule: non-coding RNA, 54 nt
Organism: Salmo salar (Atlantic salmon)
Lineage: Eukaryota; Metazoa; Chordata; Actinopteri; Salmoniformes; Salmonidae
Source: Rfam
UGCAUUCACUACUGUAAGUCGCUCUGGAUAAGAGCGUCUGCUAAAUGACAAAGA